Molecule: non-coding RNA, 76 nt
Organism: Myotis davidii
Lineage: Eukaryota; Metazoa; Chordata; Mammalia; Chiroptera; Vespertilionidae
Source: Rfam
GGCAGUUCUUGGGUGACACACCCUGGAACCAAAGAGGAGAGAGCCCGAUUCCAGGGUGCGUCACUCAAGAACUGCC